This is a long non-coding RNA of Gorilla gorilla gorilla (western lowland gorilla), 304 nucleotides long. RefSeq lists it as uncharacterized. The transcript has 3 exons. NCBI's taxonomy places the organism in Eukaryota, Metazoa, Chordata, Mammalia, Primates, Hominidae. The record is from RefSeq and is a predicted model, not a curated record.
AAGCCAGCCACCAUUGCUGAUGGGCGGAAGAACUACUGGUGGCUGAGAGCCCAGGCAAGUCUGGGAAAGGAAGGUGAGCUGACAGGGUCUCGCUCUGUGAACCAGGCUGGAGUGCAGUGGCAUGAUCACAGCUCACUACAGCCCCAACUCCUGGGUUCAAGCAAACCUCCUGCCUCAGCCUCCCAAAAGAGGAAUCACUUCUGGACCGGAGGAUGUCUCCCUGCCUUUGCCCUCCCCGCCUCCCCCCACAUCCUUCUCUGGAAAGGGGAAUGAGGAUGAGAAUGACCUCCAUCCGCAAGACGAG